GAUUAGAGUUUGAUCCUGGCUCAGAUUGAACGCUGGCGGCAUGCUUUACACAUGCAAGUCGAACGGUAACAGGGAGCUUGCUCCGCUGACGAGUGGCGAACGGGUGAGUAAUGCAUCGGAACGUACCCAGUCGUGGGGGAUAACGUAGCGAAAGUUACGCUAAUACCGCAUACGUCCUGAGGGAGAAAGCGGGGGACCGAAAGGCUUCGCGCGAUUGGAGCGGCCGAUGUCGGAUUAGCUAGUUGGUAGGGUAAAGGCCUACCAAGGCGACGAUCCGUAGCGGGUCUGAGAGGAUGAUCCGCCACACUGGGACUGAGACACGGCCCAGACUCCUACGGGAGGCAGCAGUGGGGAAUUUUGGACAAUGGGCGCAAGCCUGAUCCAGCCAUGCCGCGUGAGUGAAGAAGGCCUUCGGGUUGUAAAGCUCUUUCAGGUGGAAAGAAAACGCAUGGGUCAAUACCCUGUGUGGAUGACGGUACCAUCAGAAGAAGACUG
This 495-nucleotide ribosomal RNA is filed under the name uncultured bacterium. RNAcentral's name for it is "bacterial SSU rRNA". It matches the Rfam family "Bacterial small subunit ribosomal RNA", at positions 1 to 494 of the family's 1533-position model. The record is from RNAcentral.